This 539-nucleotide ribosomal RNA is filed under the name uncultured bacterium. RNAcentral describes it as "bacterial SSU rRNA". It matches the Rfam family "Bacterial small subunit ribosomal RNA", at positions 337 to 868 of the family's 1533-position model. The record is from RNAcentral.
UCCUACGGGAGGCAGCAGUGGGGAAUAUUGCACAAUGGGGGAAACCCUGAUGCAGCCAUGCCGCGUGUGUGAAGAAGGCCUUCGGGUUGUAAAGCACUUUCAGUGGUGAGGAAAAGUUAGUAGUUAAUACCUGCUAGCCGUGACGUUAACCACAGAAGAAGCACCGGCUAACUCCGUGCCAGCAGCCGCGGUAAUACGGAGGGUGCGAGCGUUAAUCGGAAUUACUGGGCGUAAAGCGCACGCAGGCGGUUUGUUAAGCUAGAUGUGAAAGCCCCGCGCUUAACGUGGGAUGGUCAUUUAGAACUGACAGACUAGAGUCUUGGAGAGGGGAGUGGAAUUUCUGGUGUAGCGGUGAAAUGCGUAGAGAUCAGAAGGAACAUCAAUGGCGAAGGCAGCUCUCUGGCCAAAGACUGACGCUCAUGUGCGAAAGUGUGGGUAGCGAACAGGAUUAGAUACCCUGGUAGUCCACACCGUAAACGCUGUCUACUAGCUGUAUGUGUAUUUAAUACGUGUGUAGCGAAGCUAACGCGCUAAGUAGA